RNAcentral lists this unclassified non-coding RNA (549 nucleotides) under Hevea brasiliensis (rubber tree). Lineage: Eukaryota; Viridiplantae; Streptophyta; Magnoliopsida; Malpighiales; Euphorbiaceae. The record is from RNAcentral.
CCAAUGCCAUUGCUAAUUGCAUAAUAUUUGAUGCUGAUACCGUGUUCUGCGAACCAAAAGAUAUGUAUAGAACAGAAUUCAACGGUUUUGUAUCAAGCCAUUUUUUACAUACCUCUGGCGCGAUUCCUCUGCUCGAGCUCUGGUUCUUGCGAAUAAUAGAGCUGGACCAAUUGGCCAAACUGGUCGGCCAAUUUUUUUUCUGAAAUACAUCAAUCCGAGCUUGUCAAUCUCCUCCACCGUGUUCAUUAAAAUCCCGUCUGCAUUAUACCAUCCAAGAAGCAUGUUCCUUAGGAACACUGAAAUGGAAUCUUUACCAUCAGUCUUUCUUAGAAGUUCUGUUAGCUGGGUUACAUGAAAUUUAGAAGCCUCCGGGAAAUCUGGCAACGUGAACUCCUCGGAGUCUGUGUUCCGGUGGGGUAGGUUCAGCCACAAAGAGCUGAAACAUGCAAAGCCAUAACCACCACCUCCACAAAAUAUCGCAUGGAAAAUUCCAAACUCAUGUGCAAUCUCUGCACACCAUGAAAAGAACAUGUCUGUGAUGAUACACAG